Molecule: non-coding RNA, 29 nt
Filed under: Rattus norvegicus (Norway rat)
Lineage: Eukaryota; Metazoa; Chordata; Mammalia; Rodentia; Muridae
Source: RNAcentral
UACUUUCAAGUCCCCGUUCCUCCGGAAGA